UACGAAGGUGGCAAGCGUUACUCGGAAUUACUAGGCGUAAAGGGCAGGUAGGUGGUUUAAUAAGUCUGUUGUGUCAGCUCCUGGCUUAACUGGGAGAGGUCAACGGAAACUAUUAGGCUUGAGUAUAGGAGAGGAUACUGGAAUUCCUGGUGUAGCGGUGAAAUGCGCAGAUAUCAGGAGGAACACCAAUGGCGAAAGCAAGUAUCUGGACUAUUACUGACACUCAGCUGCGAAAGCUAGGGGAGCAAACAGGAUUAGAUACCCUGGUAGUCCUAGCUGUAAACGAUGCACAUUAGACGUGAGGGGUAUCGACCCCCUUCGUGUCGACGCAAACGCAUUAAAUGUGCCGCCUGGGGAGUACGGCCGCAAGGUUGAA
Molecule: ribosomal RNA, 376 nt
Filed under: uncultured bacterium
Lineage: Bacteria
Description: bacterial SSU rRNA
Rfam family: Bacterial small subunit ribosomal RNA
Source: RNAcentral